Molecule: non-coding RNA, 1396 nt
Organism: Leptonychotes weddellii (Weddell seal)
Lineage: Eukaryota; Metazoa; Chordata; Mammalia; Carnivora; Phocidae
Source: RefSeq, a predicted model, not a curated record
GCAAAGAAAUUCUGAUACAUGCUACAACAUAAAUGAAAUUGAGGACAUUAUACCGAGUGAAGUAAGCCAGCCACACAAAGACAAAUACUAUAUGGUCCCACUUAUUUGAAGUACCUCGAGUUGUCAGAUUCACAGAGACAGAAAGCAGAAUAGUGGUUGCCCGGGGCUGGGGAGAGGCAGGUAUGGAGAGUUGCCAUUCAACGGGUACAGAGUUUUGGUUUUGCAAGAUGAAGAACGUUCUGGAGGUGGGUGGUGAUACUGGUUGCAUAAUGACGUGAAAGUACUUAAUACCACUAAACCGUACACUUAAAAUGGUUAAAAUGGUCCAUUUUAUGUUUUAUAUAUUUUGCCACAACUUAUGACAGAUCUUAACCAUUCCCAGGCCUGCCAAAGCUUUCAGGUAAUUUCCUUCUGCUGGAUGUUUGCUGUUUUCCCUCCAGAUAACCGGCUUUUAUUUCUUUCUCCUCCUAAGACCAGACUGCUCUCUGCCAGGAUCUCUAGGCCCUCCACACUGGCCAGUACUCCUACGGAGGGCAGGGCCCAGCCCCAGGGCCUUUAGCUCACUCUCCUGGGAAGAAAGCGCCUCUACUCCGAAGGCAGUCGGUACAUACUUUACUCACAACAGUCGGCAGGUGGCUGUGGAUCCCUUUUGUUCCCAGGAAUCACAUGGGGACGAACUGCACUGUGUAUUUGCCAUCACUGGUAGCUAAUGCCAACAGUGACGUUGGGCAUCGUUAUUAACAGGAAACCAGAGAUCACGCUACUUGCUAAAGGACCUUGACCACAUCACUGCAAGUCUCUGGUGGGGGUGGGGGGAAAGAAAGUCUCUGGACCCUCAGUUUUCCCUUCAGUAAAAAGUAGACAAGAAUUAUUGAUACCCACCUCCCCCAGAGAAACUGAGGAUGGGCUAGGGAGAAAAGGAUUGGGGUGCACUUAGCCAAUCUAUUCUGCAUUAUCCUUUAUGUGGGUAAACCCCAAACCUGGCUGAGUAUUAUAAUCACAUGGGUAGCCUUUAAAAUUAGAAAUCCCAGCUUCCUUGAAUUUCUCCUUUUUCCCAGCCAGGUGGCCCCUGAUGUGAAGGGAACCCCCUUGGGUUGAGAAGUGAGGUGGUUUCAACUUUCCUAGCUAAAUCCUCUCCAGCUUGGCUUAAAGGCUAUGAGAUGGAAAGCAGCCGUCUGUCUCCUUUGCGCUCUCGCUUGGACUCGCUGUUCCCCCAAUUUUGGCACUUCUCACAUACUGCCUGUUAUUUUUACUUAACUAUUUCAAAUCUUUGCCUCUUAUUUCCUCAGUUAGCUACUGGAGGUUAAGAACAGUGCCAUAUCCUUCUAUUCUUGCCCACAGAUGCCAGUCUGUUAGCACGUAGUAUAUGUUCAAUAAACAUUUGUUGAAUUGCAAA